Molecule: transfer RNA, 1054 nt
Filed under: Rhizobium leguminosarum
Lineage: Bacteria; Pseudomonadati; Pseudomonadota; Alphaproteobacteria; Hyphomicrobiales; Rhizobiaceae
Description: 16S-23S ribosomal RNA intergenic spacer
Rfam family: tRNA (bases 303-376)
Source: RNAcentral
CUAAGGAAGCCGAUUUUAGCAAGGGUGGCCGUAUGGCCCGCCUGGAUGCCCUUUGAGCGCAAGCGAAAAGGACACGCUAUCCAGGCCACGCAAAAUCCGCUUUUUAGAACAUAGAUGGCACCAGUCAGGUGACCAUCGAAACGCAAUACGCCGCGUAGACUUCGGUCACGACGGUAUGGCGAGCUUUCGCCGUCCACGUUUCUCUUUCUUCACAAGGAUAUCGAACCAUAGCUAGACUGCGCUUCGCGCUGUUUCUUGGCUUUUGGUGCUGUGCUUUGUGAGCGCAGGACCUUUUAAGAGAUGGGCCCGUAGCUCAGUUGGUUAGAGCACACGCUUGAUAAGCGUGGGGUCGGAAGUUCAAGUCUUCCCGGGCCCACCAUUUGCUUUUGUGGAUGGUUUGCUUGCGGUUUACUGAUCCCUGACGGUUUGACUGUCGGGUGUUUGCGAUGGUUGGGGCUGUAGCUCAGCUGGGAGAGCACCUGCUUUGCAAGCAGGGGGUCAGCGGUUCGAUCCCGCUCAGCUCCACCAAUUCGCUUUGGUGUCGAGACUGACGGAUAUCCUUUGAAGAAAAUACAAGUUUGCAUCGGCUUUUGAGCCUGAUGCCUGUUCUGCAUAUAUCGUGAAGAGAAGAUUGAUCUGGAGGCUUCCAGGUGUUUUGGGUUUUGGCCCAUGACGUCCGAGCCCAGUUCUUGUGAAACCAUGGAUGGCCUAGCCGGCCGGAUAUGGUGGAGGGGCUGGAGGGUGGAAGGAAGCUUGUCGCUCUGGGUUGUCCAGCGUAAACCGCAUAGCGGUUUAUCGCGUGUUGUUCGAUGUCUUUUGGCAUCGUCUGACGGACGACCGGAUUACCGUUGCCUGACCGCGCGGUAUCGGAUCACAUCUCGAGAAGCUGGUCUUAAGACCUGACACAAGCGAGCUGCUCGGCGUAGCUCCAAUAAAGUGAUCAGGUCGAACACGUCGAUGGCAUUGUUGGAUUGACUGGGUUGUAAAAGGUAACCCGGUCUGUUGCUGUUUCUUCGAAACAGGCAACGAGAUGAUGAGCAUUGGCAAUGAGAAC